Molecule: ribosomal RNA, 253 nt
Filed under: uncultured bacterium
Lineage: Bacteria
Also listed under: 1 other name
Description: partial 16S ribosomal RNA
Rfam family: Bacterial small subunit ribosomal RNA
Source: RNAcentral
UACAGAGGUCCCAAGCGUUGUUCGGAUUCACUGGGCGUAAAGGGUGCGUAGGUGGCUUGGUAAGUUUGAUGUGAAAUCUCCGGGCUUAACCCGGAAAUGGCAUUGAAUACUAUUGAGCUGGAGGUUUGGAGGGGGGACUGGAAUUCUCGGUGUAGCAGUGAAAUGCGUAGAUAUCGAGAGGAACACCAGUGGCGAAGGCGAGUCCCUGGACAACACCUGACACUGAGGCACGAAAGCUAGGGGAGCAAACAGG